This 2394-nucleotide long non-coding RNA is filed under the name Macaca mulatta (Rhesus monkey). RNAcentral's name for it is "lncRNA (ENSMMUG00000055672.1)". Lineage: Eukaryota; Metazoa; Chordata; Mammalia; Primates; Cercopithecidae. The record is from RNAcentral.
GCCUCCCCAGGCCCCCUGGGAAUGCGCUUGCAAGCCUUGGCUGGGCCGCGCUGGCAGGGGCAGGGAAUGCAGAGGCGGCAGAGUAGGGGGGGCCAGGACCCCCCAGCACGGCUUUUCGGGUUAACGCGAAAGAGGAGACCGCGCAGCUCCGGGCCCGGAGAGGACCUCAGGAAUGUGGUGGUUCAGAGCUGACAUCCACAUUUCCCUGUCUGCCUGGAUCCAGUUCGGGGACAGUGGGGCAGCGCCAGGAGGAGGGCCAGCAACACAGCCAGGCAGCCGUCCUGGGGCUGGCUGGCAGUUCAAAGCCCUGCCACAGAGCCCCAGCCCUGCCACCCAUCGCGGGGGCGUAUGGAGCUCCUCAGAUGGGCUGGGCCUUCCUGGAAGAUGAUCCCUGGGACUGGGAGAGGCCCCUCCCCUGUCCCCAUAGGCUGUGCCCUCUCUCCUCAUCCUCAGUCUCUGAGCAGAUGGCACCUUCCUCAGGAAGACCUCCCAGGACAGCGAGGGGAGGGCGACUGCUCCUCCACCUUCCCUGGCCCUGCGUGUCUUCUCUGGAGCAAGCUCAAUUCUAAGCGUUCCUGGGCCCAUGGGCCCCUCGCGGCUGAAGCACGGCUUUUGCGCCUUCACCUGGUUUUGGAAUCACAAGCCAAACUCAGGCAGCACCUGGGGAGAUGAACGUGGAGGCUCCAGUGGGCAGGUGGACCUCGUGGUGCUGACCAAACUCUAGCCAAGUUUCAAGGCCCGGCUCUCAGACGCUCCCCCAGAUGGCCCACAGCUGGCUAACAUCUAGUGCUGAGAUGGUCUGCCUGGGGCAGGACACAGACCUCACCACGGGCAGGAUUUCUUCCCAAAGCUGUGCCAUCCCUCGAGUCCCUGGGGAUGCUGGUGACAGUGCAGACCCCAGGCCCGGCAGUGGGGCUGCAGUGACCCACGGUUAUCAUGGGAACUCCAUACCUGAGCAGCCCCUCCUGGACCCACGGAGAAAGGACUCGCACCCAUUUUGUCCAGGGCAGUGCCUGGCACGAAGCAGACAGGUGCUUGUCAGACAGGUAUCGAACGAACCAUUCCUUGCCCCAUCCCCACCACAGGGGCCAUGGCUCAGAAGGGCCCUGCACGUGGUUGGAUGCUCUGAUCGUCCUGGAAGGAGGGUCUCGCAUUUUCGUUUUGCACAGGGCUCCACGAAUCUCGUAGCUGCCCUGCUGUUCCCACAUCCUGCCCCUUAAAAAGUCCUGGGCAGGAACCCUCCUACCUCGGGCUGUGGUGGCUUGGGGCCCAUUCCUUUCCUGAGCCCAGUUUCACCCCGCAGGGUACAGGGUGCUGGCUACGAGACCUUCUGCCCCACCACACCUCAGCCAGGUGAGGGCACGGUCGGGGUCUUCAUCCCUUCAACCUUGACCUCUGCUCUUCACCACAGGCAGCCAGGUUGUGACAGCCUGUGAGGACCCCUUGGCUCCCGGAGCCUUCCCUCUCCUGGAAUAGAGACGACACUGUGCCAUCAUUGAACUCACCUGAAAAAACGAUCUGUUGCAAAGCUCACAGGAAGUAAUGGAGCAACGUUACAUGAUAAACUGUAAAGUGUGGUGAGCACGUGAACAAGUGUCCAGGACCCAGCGAAGCCCCAGGCUACUGGGCUUGAAGUCAGAGGAGAAAAGGAAAGGGCAGCCUGCUGUAGGAUCUAAGGCCUCCAUGUGCUUAGCCCAUGGCUGUCGUCAUGGUGACGUGUGCACACGAUGUAUCUGAGCCAGCCUUGUUCUUGAACGCGGGCAGUGAAUCCCACGGUGAUGUGGCAUGUCGCGAGCUGGAGGAGGGGCGCCCGCAUGGAGGCUUGUGAACCAGCUAGACAGCCUUUGGACCUUUUGGAGCCUCAGUUUCCCACACUGAGAAUUGGAGUGGAAUUCCCAGGGUGCUGGAGGUUGAAAGGCAUUGAGAAUCUAAAACACUUUGCAGACAGCAAGACCCUCUGUGUGAGUUAAGAAUUCUCACUCAAUCCCAGCAGGCACUCAGAGGGAUCCUUUAAUUUCUCCAGAAUAUUCUGCAGGUGAGCUGGGGAAGCCCACUGGCCCUGGCCUCACCCCCGAGCCCCAGCCUUCAGCCUGGGAAUGGUCUGGCCUCUUCCUUGCCGGCCCACCAGACUGGCCUCGCAGGACCCUGGGCGGGAACCCAGGAACCCUCAGCCGUGCCACCCGCUAUGUGCUUCCCCAAGAAGCGCUCCCUGUGGCCUAAUUUGAGAAAACAAUGGGCCUCAAUCCAUAUGAAUGACCCUCAAGAGACCCUUUGUCCGCGGUGCACAGCCUAUAAUCAGCGGGGCUCUGGGGGCUCUGGCCUAAUUUGGAGGGACAGGUUUUAUCAUCACCCUUGAUUCGGGUGACCCAAUCUGACAGGCCCACGACCCCCUGU